UAAUAAUAUGUAUAUAUAUCCUCUCGCGAGUCAUGGCGAGAGUCUUCCUUUGUUGGACUUUGGUGAGGAAGGAGCAUUUCAAUCGUUUAGACAGAGUUGUGAAGUUGGAGAUUUUUUUUCUUUUUGAGAAUUCAAAGGAGAAACGCUUACAAGUUUUAACAGAUAAAUCAGAAGGAAAUGGCCUCGUGGGUUCGCAGCAUCACAUCCCCAUUCAGAAAAGCUUGCAUCUUCUUCAACAACUCCAAGGAUAAGAAGUCCCUGCCAGGGCAUGGGCAUGAUAACCGGGUCACGGAUUUGCAGGGUGAAGUGAUGGCAUGUGGUUACGAGGAUGUUCAGGUGAUGUGGUCUAUCCUCGACAAGUCCAAGCCCGGAGAAUGCAAAGUGGGUUCUUGAAGUACUUGAGAAUUGAAGCCCGGCAACUCUUCCGUAUAUCCCCAUCUGAUCAGCUAGCUAGCCCGGAGCAUGCUAGCUGUUUGAUUUCAUUUUGAUGGGGUUAUGUUUCGGUUUGUAGAUAACUUACUUAGGGUGCUCUAUUUUGGUAAGAUGAGCUUAAUCAUCCCCCUUUUCCAAAGAAGAAGGCAGCCAGAAUGAUAAAGAAAAGAUACAAAUUAAGGAUGACAAGAGGAAAUUAUUAGGUGAAGAAAGGCAAGAUUGAUAUACAUAUGUAGGAUUGUCUCUCUUGUUUUUUAUGAUGACUCUCUUGUCUGUAACUCUGUAAAUUCAUGAUGUUUCCAUAAUAGGGAAUCCCCAUGGUUAAUGAAGAUCCUGGUGAGAUUUAACGAAA
This is a long non-coding RNA of Macadamia integrifolia, 784 nucleotides long. RefSeq lists it as uncharacterized. The transcript is spliced from 2 exons. The record is from RefSeq and is a predicted model, not a curated record. NCBI's taxonomy places the organism in Eukaryota, Viridiplantae, Streptophyta, Magnoliopsida, Proteales, Proteaceae.